This is a long non-coding RNA of Mercenaria mercenaria, 1537 nucleotides long. RefSeq lists it as uncharacterized. The record is from RefSeq and is a predicted model, not a curated record. Lineage: Eukaryota; Metazoa; Mollusca; Bivalvia; Venerida; Veneridae. The transcript is spliced from 3 exons.
CAGGAACCACGAGGAAAGCGGUAGCUAUAUCUCAUGUUGUUUGUGAUAUAAGUGACAAAACGAAAACUGCGGACCAGUAUCCUGAAAUACCAGAGACAGAAGUAACAAUCCCAAGGCCACUGGAAACUACUGAUGCAAGGGCGCCUGGACGAGGAAGGAGGUUAAGGAAGAGAAAAAUUACUAUAUGUAAGGAUAAAAAACGGGAUGGAAAGAGGAAACGUUUAAGUAGGGCCGAUCGGGGAACGUCACCACCGAAUAUAUGUCACGAGACACUAGACGAGCAAGGAACAGAGGGGUUGCCAUUGUUAACCGAGAAGCCGUCAUCUAGCGGUACACGUAAGAAGAAUUUCUUUGAUUUAUUAAAAUAUAUUAAAAAAAUUCACAAAUUUAGUCAGACAGACAAAUCCGGAAAUGGUGAGGUGUGGUGGGGAUCAUUUAUCCCUGCAUGUAUCUGAUUCCGUGAGAACAAAAAUUAAAAAAAAUCACCAAUAUGUCAAUCUUGCUAUGAUGCUUAAAGGUAGUGUCGUGGAAACAAUUUGAUCGCAGACAUCUCUCUCGGUUAUCAGAAUUUGCCGGGUAGAGAUUUAUGAAAGCUCGAAGCCAACCGAAGAUCGAAAGGCAAUGCCCAUCUAUACCUUACACUCAAUUCUGUUUAUGGUCAGAUGGCCAUAAAAGCGCAGUAUUGCACAUAUUUUUUUAUGAUAACAAUAGCUAUAAACGCCUAUGUCUAUGAUCGCUUUAAUCAUAGACACACAUGAAAAUAAACACAUAUGAUCACUAAUCAUUCUGUUCAUGGUCGCAAUUGUCAUACACGCACAACAUUACACAUAUUUGUUCAUGAUCGCAAUAACCAUAAACGCAGAUGUCUAUGAUCUCUAUAAUCAUAGACGCACAUAAAAAUAACUGUUAUAUAUGUUUAUGAUCGCAAUAGCCAUAAACGCAUCUACUAAAAAUUAGAAGAUACACCAGUUUACCUCCUAACAUAGUAGAGAUGGUACCUAAAAAUUCAUCUUUACAGACGUUUUUCAGAGUGAAAUGAUAGCUAAGUGCACCAAUUUACUAAAUAUAUUUAUGGUUUUCCUCUUCUCCAUGUAAAAAUAGAAAUGUUUGAUAUUUAAGAAAUGACUUUCUCAAAAUAUCUGAAGCGAAAUGGACAACUCUUGUAUUGAUCGUUUUUCAAUGAUUUCAGGAUUUUCCCAAUUAUAGUCUAUAACAAAAGUUUCCACAGCUAAUUAAAUUCAAUGGUGUAUAGUGUAAGUUUAGUCUACUUUCAAAACUUUGAAAGAGCCUAUACUGAACUUCCUUUUGUCUUUUAAUAAAGUCAUAUUCCAAGACUAGCCAAGAGUCUAAAACGCUUGUAAAAAUUCUGAGUGAAAGAGAAUAUAACAUGCUCUUUAUCAUAAGCUUACCAAAACCAUACCAAAAAUUUACCUGAAAGAAGUUAUUAAAGAUUUUAUAAUGUAAACAAACACCUACACUAUUUUACCAUCAAUAUUUUUCACUCAUGAAUGCACGCAAUUCAGGUGAUAAUUGUUGA